RNAcentral lists this long non-coding RNA (1256 nucleotides) under Pogona vitticeps (central bearded dragon). Its description in RNAcentral is "lncRNA (ENSPVIG00000000411.1)". Lineage: Eukaryota; Metazoa; Chordata; Lepidosauria; Squamata; Agamidae. The record is from RNAcentral.
CAAAUUGCAUCCACAAAACGGAGGAACUCUCAUCCAGAGUAGUGAAAUAAAUUCUCACCUGUCUCAUCCUCACGUGGGAGAAUGAGGAACUGUAACAUGAUUCAUUUCAUCAAGAGCAAUUUCCUGGAGCUAAACUCUUGUCGGUGAUAUAUACUUGCGUAAGAGGAAUUGCUUAAGUCCUUGCAGAAGACUGCUGUUCAUUCAUGAGGGGUCAGCUGUGAUCAGUUAUAUUAGGGGAAACAAACAGAAUCUCAUUAUGAGUAGAAACUUGCAACUACUACUUGCACAAUUUCCUUUCUGUGACUAGGAUUCUGGAUACUACAUUUUGCACAAAAUUAGCCAUUUUUACACAAAAGGCAAGUUUCUUCCACAUCUGAUUUUUUUUUAAUUCUUAAGUUCUUUCCAUCUCAAUCAUAAAUAAAUUGCCAAAUUUUGCGAAAUUGUCAUCAAAACCAGUAGAUUUUAGAUAAUUCUAAUUCAGCAGUGUGAUACUCAGUGUGAUGCAGUGGAGUGAGAGUAAUUACUACUUCCCCCGGGAAAAGGCAGCAGCCGGCACGUCAGACAAAAGCAUCCCUGCCCUUCCCUUCCUGCCGUGGGCACACAAAGACCGCCCAAGCACUCCGGCCAAACAACAGCAGGAGCAGCAGCAGCAGCGGUGGCGGGCGAGCGAGCAGAAUUCCAAUUUCAAGAGGAUGAAGCAACAUACAGUAGCACGAGUCAAACAGCAGCAUCAGUUUAUGAAGAUAUUAGAGCUUUGAUCUGCUUCCUUAUCAGUCGACUACAAGAAACAGGAAGAUACACAAAAGCGAUCUGCCACAGAGAAAAGGAAGGCUGUACAAAGCCACUUGUCAAUAUUGACAUGACAUGAAGAUAAUGCCUUCUUUAUGUUAAAAUAAUUGUUCAAAUUACCUGAUGAGAAACAUCCUUUUCUAUUAAACCAGUAGUUUUCUCCCUAAAUUUUCCAUUUCUUCAUUUAUCUCAUUACUUGACUAGUAUCGCGCAACAUAUUUUAAAACUAGUUAUAAGUAUAGGGUGGGAGUGGUUCUUACUUCAAAGACAACACGUAAAGUUGGGAAGUCUAGUUCUUCACUCCAUAAACGUGUGCUGACAAAAAUUGUACCACCAGCACACAUGGCAGCAGCAUCUUUUCAUUGUGGGAAUGUUUUUCUAGGGCUCAAAGCUAUGUGUGGGGAAGACGUUUGUUUGCUUGUUUGUUUCUAAAGUUAUUGUAAAGGGCACACACAUUCAAAAGCCAC